Molecule: long non-coding RNA, 606 nt
Organism: Phalaenopsis equestris
Lineage: Eukaryota; Viridiplantae; Streptophyta; Magnoliopsida; Asparagales; Orchidaceae
Exons: 2
Source: RefSeq, a predicted model, not a curated record
CUCGCCUGCUUCCCGAACUCCCAUCCUUCUUCCCGAAGUCUGCUGCCUCCCCCCGUCCAAAAUCCUCGCGUGCUCCCUGGCUCCUCUAAUCCCGACACCUCUUCUUCUCCCUACGGCUCGACUCGCACACUCCCUGCCUCCCAACGCCUCUUCUUCUCCCUUAAUCCCAUUUCGCAAUGUAUACUUCCUACAAAGAUAGAAGUUAUGAGAGAAAAUUCUAUUAUUGUAUACUAAAUCAAUCGGACAAUGAUUGCAAAUAUUUCAAGCGACAGAUUUUAAAUUUGUUGACGGUGAUGCUGAAAGGUUAGCAAUGGAUGGCAUGAUGAAGAAGAACUUUGAAGAUAUCAAAUAUCUUAUCAUGCUGUUGAUUUCAAUCAAUGUUGUAAAUAUAGUUAUUAUGUUAUUAUCAAGGGAAAAACAUUUUUAUUAUUAAAGGCGAUAAUGAGUUGUGAAGUUGUCCAAGUAUUUUGAAGCAUGAACUUUUGUAAAAUUAAUUAUGUAGUAUUGUAGUGCUAAGUCUUCGAUUGUUUUAGUUAGCUUCCUUAAGGCAUGCUUGUACUUGAAAAACCCUCUGUAGUAUUUUCAAUAGAUAUGUGAUUGAGUUAA